This 478-nucleotide ribosomal RNA is filed under the name uncultured bacterium. Its description in RNAcentral is "partial 16S ribosomal RNA". It matches the Rfam family "Bacterial small subunit ribosomal RNA", at positions 28 to 523 of the family's 1533-position model. The record is from RNAcentral.
GACGAACGCUGGCGGCGUGCUUAACACAUGCAAGUCGAACGGUAAGGCCCUUCGGGGUACACGAGUGGCGAACGGGUGAGUAACACGUGGGUGGUCUGCCCUGCACUUCGGGAUAAGCCUGGGAAACUGGGUCUAAUACCGGAUAGGACCACUGCCUGCAUGGGUGGUGGUGGAAAGCUUUUGCGGUGUGGGAUGGGCCCGCGGCCUAUCAGCUUGUUGGUGGGGUGAUGGCCUACCAAGGCGACGACGGGUAGCCGGCCUGAGAGGGUGACCGGCCGCACUGGGACUGAGAUACGGCCCAGACUCAUACGGGAGGCAGCAGUGGGGAAUAUUGCACAAUGGGCGCAAGCCUGAUGCAGCGACGCCGCGUGAGGGAUGACGGCCUUCGGGUUGUAAACCUCUUUCAGCACCGACGAAGCGCAAGUGACGGUAGGUGCAGAAGAAGGACCGGCCAACUACGUGCCAGCAGCCGCAGUAA